This 459-nucleotide ribosomal RNA is filed under the name Abiotrophia defectiva. RNAcentral's name for it is "bacterial SSU rRNA". It matches the Rfam family "Bacterial small subunit ribosomal RNA", at positions 28 to 479 of the family's 1533-position model. The record is from RNAcentral. Lineage: Bacteria; Bacillati; Bacillota; Bacilli; Lactobacillales; Aerococcaceae.
GACGAACGCUGGCGGCGUGCCUAAUACAUGCAAGUCGAACGAACCGCGACUAGGUGCUUGCACUUGGUCAAGGUGAGUGGCGAACGGGUGAGUAACACGUGGGUAACCUACCUCAUAGUGGGGGAUAACAGUCGGAAACGACUGCUAAUACCGCAUAGGACAUGGGAUCACAUGAUUCCGUGAGGAAAGGUGGCGCAAGCUAUCGCUAAGAGAUGGACCCGCGGUGCAUUAGCUAGUUGGUAGGGUAACGGCCUACCAAGGCAAUGAUGCAUAGCCGACCUGAGAGGGUGAUCGGCCACAUUGGGACUGAGACACGGCCCAAACUCCUACGGGAGGCAGCAGUAGGGAAUCUUCCGCAAUGGACGCAAGUCUGACGGAGCAACGCCGCGUGAGUGAAGAAGGUCUUCGGAUCGUAAAGCUCUGUUGUUAGAGAAGAACAGCGCAUAGAGUAACUGUUUC